Molecule: long non-coding RNA, 742 nt
Filed under: Ursus thibetanus thibetanus
Lineage: Eukaryota; Metazoa; Chordata; Mammalia; Carnivora; Ursidae
Description: lncRNA (ENSUTTG00000019551.1)
Source: RNAcentral
ACUUCAUGAGGUUUCCUCUGGACUGGAAAUGAAUGUUUGUCGAGAAAAACUAACCCGGUUUUCUGUUAAAAAGACCACGUAAAUGAUGACUCUUUUGCUUCAAAGAAAAAUCUCAGAAUGUUAGUGUCCUGCGGUAUUGGAGGGGGCUGUGAGCUCACCUAGAGAAGCCAGCAGGAAGGCUCGUCUGCCCGGCUCACAGACCAGGAGGAAAUCACCGUCUGAGAUUUGCCAAUCAAAGUUCUAUGGCUCCUCCUCUUUCGGGAAUGCUAUCAGAAUCCCAGUGGCCCACACAGAGUGUUUGGGGAAGAUAGAGACACCCAUCGACCCAGUUCAGUCACUCAAAUAAGGUGAGAAGUAAGAUAAAACAGUUGUCACUGUUGGUUGGCUCUCAGAUAUGAGAGUAACCUUACCAAACUAAAUCUACUUUAUAUAAAUUCAAACAUAAAAGAAUCAAAUAUUGUCUGGAUGGCUUUAUCCUGUCUCUUAUGUCAGUGCAUGUAGCCAAAUAUGGGCUCCCUGUACAAAUAAAGAGAAAAUGCUGAAAUAAAACAAAUAAGCAAAACAAAACGCCCAAAUGAAACAAAACCCUACUGUAUUCCAGGAAGCAAAUAAAGGCCUCCUGUGUAAAUAAAGGCAAAGGGCCAAAAUAAAGCAAAAAGCUCAACGACUAUCUUAGAAUCUGAAGAACACAGAGGAAUUCUUAUUUUUUUGAACAACCACUUCUCUGCCAUAUCUACGCUAA